CAGUCGCCACGGUAAUACGUAGGUGGCAAGCGUUGUCCGGAAUUAUUGGGCGUAAAGGGCUCGCAGGCGGUUUCUUAAGUCUGAUGUGAAAGCCCCCGGCUCAACCGGGGAGGGUCAUUGGAAACUGGGAAACUUGAGUGCAGAAGAGGAGAGUGGAAUUCCACGUGUAGCGGUGAAAUGCGUAGAGAUGUGGAGGAACACCAAUGGCGAAGGCGACUCUCUGGUCUGUAACUGACGCUGAGGAGCGAAAGCGUGGGGAGCGAACAGGAUUAGAUACCCCUGUAGUCCCUGUCUCUUAUAC
This 301-nucleotide ribosomal RNA is filed under the name uncultured bacterium. Its description in RNAcentral is "partial 16S ribosomal RNA". It matches the Rfam family "Bacterial small subunit ribosomal RNA", at positions 509 to 807 of the family's 1533-position model. The record is from RNAcentral.